GCGUAGCCGUGGCUUCACGUGUACAGUAAUGAAACGGUGCGUUUCAAAUUCAGUUAGGUUGAACACAACACUCCCUUCAUCUACCCACAGAGCAGAGCAAGCUUCCCCAUAGACGACCGCCAAACACGAGGACGAUUACAGGUACAGUUCCCAAACAACGUCCAAUAUGGCUACAACCACCCAGCCCAGUCAUCCAAGUAACGAGCAAGAAUGACGAAACCAACAAACUUUCACAGCAAACACCAAUCCCCAACUCCGAAAAACAAAUUAAUGAAUUCAAUAAUCGCCUGUGAAUGUGCAACAAUAGCCUUUCCUCUAAUCUGAUUGAAGCGUUUCUUGCCAAUGAUGUUACGAGUAACAACAACAAUCUGCGCAAAGACCCUUUCCUUCAUUGACAUUCUUUAUCAUGGGUCGCGCCCUCACCGGCUUUCCAUUGUAGUAGCUGACUUGACAAUUAAAAAAAAAAAAAAAAAAGAGCCCUAAUUUCUAUUACAAUGCGAGGAACUCUCUCUCUCUGUUCAUUUCUUUUCCACAGGUGGUGGCCAAAAACUUGGAUUCCUUCAUUUUUACUUACAAAAAGGAAUAACAUUUCAUUACAAGAAGUCAAAGAUGUAGAAAGAUGGAAACAAAAACCGCAUACAACCAGGGCGAGGGCACUCUCUCUCUUAGAAAAAAUUUCUUCGACAGUACUCAUCUACAAAUGACGUAGCUGUUUUUCUGCAUUUUUCUUGUUGGGUUUGAGCUGUUUCUGCAAUUUUGGUUUUUUCUUUUUUUAAAUAGAUCUGCUGACGAUUCCCCCAAAGGUACCCAAUCCUGGCUACCUGUAGAAAAACUGAUAUAUAUAUAUAUAUAAAUAUAUAUCUUUUUUC
Molecule: long non-coding RNA, 869 nt
Organism: Carya illinoinensis
Lineage: Eukaryota; Viridiplantae; Streptophyta; Magnoliopsida; Fagales; Juglandaceae
Exons: 3
Source: RefSeq, a predicted model, not a curated record